RNAcentral lists this ribosomal RNA (739 nucleotides) under Cryocola sp. RNAcentral's name for it is "bacterial SSU rRNA". It matches the Rfam family "Bacterial small subunit ribosomal RNA", at positions 73 to 825 of the family's 1533-position model. Lineage: Bacteria; Bacillati; Actinomycetota; Actinomycetes; Micrococcales; Microbacteriaceae. The record is from RNAcentral.
CUGGAGCUUGCUCUAGGGAAUUAGUGGCGAACGGGUGAGUAACACGUGAGUAACCUGCCCUUGACUCUGGGAUAACCUCCGGAAACGGAAGCUAAUACCGGAUAUGACGCACGGAGGCAUCUCCUGUGCGUGGAAAGAACUUCGGUCAAGGAUGGACUCGCGGCCUAUCAGGUAGUUGGUGAGGUAACGGCUCACCAAGCCUACGACGGGUAGCCGGCCUGAGAGGGUGACCGGCCACACUGGGACUGAGACACGGCCCAGACUCCUACGGGAGGCAGCAGUGGGGAAUAUUGCACAAUGGGCGCAAGCCUGAUGCAGCAACGCCGCGUGAGGGAUGACGGCCUUCGGGUUGUAAACCUCUUUUAGUAGGGAAGAAGCGAAAGUGACGGUACCUGCAGAAAAAGCACCGGCUAACUACGUGCCAGCAGCCGCGGUAAUACGUAGGGUGCGAGCGUUGUCCGGAAUUAUUGGGCGUAAAGAGCUCGUAGGCGGUCUGUCGCGUCUGCUGUGAAAACCCGAGGCUCAACCUCGGGCCUGCAGUGGGUACGGGCAGACUAGAGUGCGGUAGGGGAGAAUGGAAUUCCUGGUGUAGCGGUGGAAUGCGCAGAUAUCAGGAGGAACACCGAUGGCGAAGGCAGUUCUCUGGGCCGUAACUGACGCUGAGGAGCGAAAGCGUGGGGAGCGAACAGGAUUAGAUACCCUGGUAGUCCACGCCGUAAACGUUGGGCGCUAGAUGUGG